GAUGAACGCUGGCGGCGUGCCUAAUACAUGCAAGUAGAACGAACAGAUGAGGAGUUUGCCCUCUGGACGUGAUCGGCAGGCGGGUGAAUCACGCGGGGAUACCCUCCCUAUGAGGCUGAGAACACUUCGAAACGCCAGCGAUAAUACCAGAAAAGUUAUUGUACCACGUCAUUUACUAAAAAGGUGCAGUUUUGCCAUUACUUGUAGAUGCUUCGGCGUUGUAUUAGCUAGUUGGUGUGGUAACGGCUUACCACGGCGACGAUGCGUAGCCGACCUGAGGGGGUGGUCGGCCACACUGGGACUGGGACACGGCCCAGACUCCUACGGGAGGCAGCAGUAGGGAAUCUUCGGCAAUGGACGGAAGGCUGACCGAGCAACGCCGCGUGAGUGAAGAAGGUUUUCGGAUCGUAAAGCUCUGUUGUAAGGGAAGAACGAGUGUGAGAGUGGAAAGUUCACACUGUGACGGUAUCUAACCAGAAAGGGACGGCUAACUACGUG
RNAcentral lists this ribosomal RNA (498 nucleotides) under uncultured bacterium. RNAcentral describes it as "partial 16S ribosomal RNA". It matches the Rfam family "Bacterial small subunit ribosomal RNA", at positions 28 to 507 of the family's 1533-position model. The record is from RNAcentral.